This 497-nucleotide ribosomal RNA is filed under the name uncultured bacterium. RNAcentral describes it as "partial 16S ribosomal RNA". It matches the Rfam family "Bacterial small subunit ribosomal RNA", at positions 28 to 507 of the family's 1533-position model. The record is from RNAcentral.
GAUGAACGCUGGCGGCGUGCCUAAUACAUGCAAGUCGAGCGAACGGACGAGAAGCUUGCUUCUCUGAUGUUAGCGGCGGACGGGUGAGUAACACGUGGAUAACCUACCUAUAAGACUGGGAUAACUUCGGGAAACCGGAGCUAAUACCGGAUAAUAUUUUGAACCGCAUGGUUCAAAAGUGAAAGACGGUCUUGCUGUCACUUAUAGAUGGAUCCGCGCUGCAUUAGCUAGUUGGUAAGGUAACGGCUUACCAAGGCAACGAUGCAUAGCCGACCUGAGAGGGUGAUCGGCCACACUGGAACUGAGACACGGUCCAGACUCCUACGGGAGGCAGCAGUAGGGAAUCUUCCGCAAUGGGCGAAAGCCUGACGGAGCAACGCCGCGUGAGUGAUGAAGGUCUUCGGAUCGUAAAGCUGUGUUAUUAGGGAAGAACAUAUGUGUAAGUAACUGUGCACAUCUUGACGGUACCUAAUCAGAAAGCCACGGCUAACUACGUG